RNAcentral lists this unclassified non-coding RNA (360 nucleotides) under Hevea brasiliensis (rubber tree). Lineage: Eukaryota; Viridiplantae; Streptophyta; Magnoliopsida; Malpighiales; Euphorbiaceae. The record is from RNAcentral.
AUAACGGCCAUUAUUUAAAACCAUAAUCCAAAGGCCCUAGCGUCAGCUCCAUCCAAAUUGGGUUUUACCCAAAUCAUCUUCCAUCAUCCCAAUGUCUGAACCACACUAGAGCUUCCUACCACUACCAAAGUCUUUUCCAAAGUCUACAAUCCCAUCUGAUGCCCCAAAGGUCAAAACCUAAUGGGUCGGGUUUGGACCUGAAAUAGUUUUGAGAGUUUGUUUCUCUUCCUUUUGUUUCUCUUUCUUCUUGUUCUACAAUAGUUUGAUAUUAGAGGUUGUCAAUAUCACCAAGGAGCGCAAUUUUUGUGAAAUUGAAUGAUAUAUUUGUCAUUUAGAAUUAGACCACAGUUACCAGAUUCG